AUAAAUCCGACUAUGAAAAAUGUAGCCUUCAUAUUGAAUUAUUUGGAACUAAAACAUAAGCGGAAGCAUACCUGAAUCCAUAGGUGGAAGCUCCUUGAUCCAGCUUGGAGUUCGUCCGGGGUUUGGCUUUUCCACUUGAUAUGCAAGACAAGGUUUUUCUCUCUAGCAAGAAUGGGAAAUGGAAGAGAAGUGACUUGCAUUCUUGAGGGAACCAUAACCCCCUUAAUUAUAACAUGUAACCUACAUGUAACUCAAGAGUCACAUAACCUAACCAUACAACAUGAAAG
This 287-nucleotide long non-coding RNA is filed under the name Nicotiana benthamiana. RNAcentral describes it as "long non-coding RNA (NBEN_LNC025123)". Lineage: Eukaryota; Viridiplantae; Streptophyta; Magnoliopsida; Solanales; Solanaceae. The record is from RNAcentral.